Molecule: long non-coding RNA, 285 nt
Filed under: Mustela putorius furo (domestic ferret)
Lineage: Eukaryota; Metazoa; Chordata; Mammalia; Carnivora; Mustelidae
Description: lncRNA (ENSMPUG00000028673.1)
Source: RNAcentral
GGAGAAGACGUGAUUCAGUAUCUGCGCGACGGUUCCUGCGGUUCCGUUAAGCGGCUCUACGGAGCGACAGGACUUAGGACCAUGAAAUGCGCCCGCGCUCUACACCCAGCAUGGGACUUGAACUGACAAGAGGUCCAAACAAAUAUGAUUCUUUUGUCAAGGUCAAGAGUCACAUGUUCCCCCAACUGAGCCAGCCAUGUACCCGCGUUAUUGUCAAUUUUUUAAAGGUGUGAUAAUGUUAUUGUUGUUGCAGAUUAAAAAAAAAAAAAAAAAAAAAAAGAGCCC